This is a non-coding RNA of Biomphalaria pfeifferi, 399 nucleotides long. The record is from the annotation of a GenBank genome assembly. NCBI's taxonomy places the organism in Eukaryota, Metazoa, Mollusca, Gastropoda, Planorbidae.
AUAAGAAAUAAACUGUUUAUGACUUUAUUGUUGAAUUUAUAAAAAGUAAAUACAUCAAUGAAUAUUAAUUUUAAAAGCACAAACAUCAAAACACGUAUAAUAUGCUAAUAUCUAUGAAUGUUAAUAGUUUCAUGACACUUAUUUAGCAGCUGUAAGUAUGAUAAUACAAAUAUUUGCAGGCUUUUUUUUUAAAGUCUCACUUUCUACUAAAUCUCUACAAUCCUAACCAACAACAUACAAGAAAAGGCCUUGCUAUAACAUGAUGAAAACAAUUAACUGAUAGUGGGUGUUUUAUUCACAUUAUAAUGAUUAAAAUAGAUCUCAACUUUCUGUUUAAAAGACAAAUAUUUCCAAAACGAUAUAAUGUUAGGAAUUGUAUAGAGGUAACAAAAGUAGCAA